AAGGUUGAUGAGGAGGACAUUAUCUCCCACAUCCUUGCCGGACACGAUGAGGAGUUCGACCCAGUGGUCUCGACCAUGUGCUCUAGGGUCGAGCUGGUCACGGUUCCGGAGCUGUACUCACAGCUGCUAAGCUUUGAGA
Non-coding RNA from Hordeum vulgare subsp. vulgare (domesticated barley), 139 nucleotides. The record is from Rfam. Lineage: Eukaryota; Viridiplantae; Streptophyta; Magnoliopsida; Poales; Poaceae.